AUGAUCAGGCGCAUGGUAAUAGAUAGGGUCUCUCUACAAGAGCCUUGGUCAACCCAGCCAGUCAACAGAUAUAAAGGCCAUGGGACGACCACGUGCUAGCCAAAGCCAAGAUGAGAAAUAGGUAAAAUUAAGUGGCUACUCACGUGUUUGAAAUCAUUUCCCAAUUUCAUUCUCUCUCCACUAUGACCUUUUCUCUCUCUGCUCACCGUGCAAAAAUAACUUAAACCAAAUUUCUCACCACCCACAUAGAUCAAACAUGGCCAUCCACCAAGAAUAACUCAUGAACACCGUGAAGGUGUUCAUAAGCGAAACCCAGAAAUCCCCAAAGUCGUUCUAAACCUUAAAGUCAUGAACACAACCCUAGCCUAAAGCGUUAUUUUGACCAUGAAUCUGCUAACAAAACAAUCAAAAAGGCAACCCUGAGCCAGGAUCAGGCUCAUCCCCAUUCAAACCCUAAAAUUCAAAUUCAACAUUAACAUUCCAAUUUACAUGAAGCUUCUAUAAAUUUAAGUUCAACCGAAGGAAAAGCAACAACAAUAAACGCGUAAAGUGAAGAAAAUAGAUAUUAGAGCCUCGUCAGAGCUUGAAACUCUGACGAGAAAACUUAGACGUGGCCAACCUCAGACUGGUGGUAUGCCCUGGUUGCUACAAAAAACUUGUGCUUCCUUAUUAUUCCAUUUCAACCUCUUUCUCCUUUUUUUACUUUGUCUUGUUCUGUAUGUUAUGCACAAUGGUGUGAAGUGUGAUAUGGCAUGGUUGUGCUUCGAUGCCAUGAGAUUAUGGAGAUGGUUGUUAUCAUGUAUGGACGGAUAGAAAAAAUCAUGUAAUGUGAUGUAAAGGUGUGUGUAUGCUGAUGAUUCAUGUUUUUUAAUAUAACAACCAUCUUAUUUCAA
Lathyrus oleraceus (garden pea) is the source of this 893-nucleotide long non-coding RNA. RefSeq lists it as uncharacterized. The transcript is spliced from 2 exons. The record is from RefSeq and is a predicted model, not a curated record. Lineage: Eukaryota; Viridiplantae; Streptophyta; Magnoliopsida; Fabales; Fabaceae.